RNAcentral lists this ribosomal RNA (524 nucleotides) under Botrytis cinerea. Its description in RNAcentral is "eukaryotic LSU rRNA". The stretch from base 161 to 314 matches the Rfam family "5.8S ribosomal RNA". Lineage: Eukaryota; Fungi; Ascomycota; Leotiomycetes; Helotiales; Sclerotiniaceae. The record is from RNAcentral.
GCAAAUUUUUCCACCUGCUCGGUCUGCCGAAGGGUAGACCUCCCACCCUUGUGUAUUAUUACUUUGUUGCUUUGGCGAGCUGCCUUCGGGCCUUGUAUGCUCGCCAGAGAAUACCAAAACUCUUUUUAUUAAUGUCGUCUGAGUACUAUAUAAUAGUUAAAACUUUCAACAACGGAUCUCUUGGUUCUGGCAUCGAUGAAGAACGCAGCGAAAUGCGAUAAGUAAUGUGAAUUGCAGAAUUCAGUGAAUCAUCGAAUCUUUGAACGCACAUUGCGCCCCUUGGUAUUCCGGGGGGCAUGCCUGUUCGAGCGUCAUUUCAACCCUCAAGCUUAGCUUGGUAUUGAGUCUAUGUCAGUAAUGGCAGGCUCUAAAAUCAGUGGCGGCGCCGCUGGGUCCUGAACGUAGUAAUAUCUCUCGUUACAGGUUCUCGGUGUGCUUCUGCCAAAACCCAAAUUUUUCUAUGGUUGACCUCGGAUCAGGUAGGGAUACCCGCUGAACUUAAGCAUAUCAAAAACGGGAAGGAA